This 1819-nucleotide long non-coding RNA is filed under the name Homo sapiens (human). RNAcentral describes it as "HSALNT0376021". Lineage: Eukaryota; Metazoa; Chordata; Mammalia; Primates; Hominidae. The record is from RNAcentral.
CCCACAUGGGCACGAAACAUACCACAUUUUACGGAGGAUGUAGCCCCAGAGAAGAGGGAGGUGGAGAAGCAUAAAUGAAAGGCACCUUUUCCUUCCUCUAGAAGAUGCACAGAGAAUUUCUGACCUUGUGACGUUUGGGAGUGAGGAGAUCCCAUACAGAGGCAUCCAGGUAUUUCCAGAGAUCCUGUGGCAGGUGAGGUCUGCCCUCGCUGGAGCCAACUCGUCUAUAAUAUCUUCCUAACAGCAGAACCUGGGUCUCACUCUGUCCCCUAGGCUGGAAUGCAGUGGUGUGAUCAUGGCCCACUGCAGCCUUGAACUCCUGGACCCAAGCAAUCCUCCCAUCUCAGCCUCCCAAGUAGCUGGAACUACAGGUACGGGAAAACUGGCUUAGAGAUGUUAAAUAUCCUGGAUUAUUGUCAGUUUAACAAAAUAAUUUCGGCUAUCAAAGAUCAAGUGGGAUAAAUUUCAGAGGAAGAAACUGAGCUCCUUGCAUACCAUAGAGGAGAGGUCGAGGUCCUUCCACUGAAGCACCAAGUGGGGUAUAUAAAGCCACACUGCCCAUGAGGGCUGUGGUGUGAGUCUGCUAGCCGUGAGAGACAGAUGCAUUACAAAGGGAUGGAUUUAGUGCACUCUUUCCUCUCUUACUCACAGCCUGAACAGCCAGUGAACAAUGAAACAAAACUUCUUCCCAAGCCUCAAUGAGGAUUGUGCCAUAGUUUGAAGAGAUGGCAUCAAGGUGAGUUGAUUCAGCAGCUUAACCUUGUCAUCGAGCAUUCCAGUUCUUUCAGCCUCUCUACUCUGCUGUCUGCAACAACAGUUUAUACAAAGGCUGGUUUCUUUCUCAUAUGAAGUCUUGCUCUGUUGCCCAGUCUGGAGUGCAGUGGUACGAUCAUAACUCACUGAAGUCUCAAACUUCUGGGCUCAACCAAUCCUCCCGCUUAACCUCCCAAGUAGCUGGGACGACAGGUGCAUGCCACUACGCAUUGCUAUUAAAAAAAAAAUUGUAGAGAUGGGGUCUUACUAUGUUGCCCAGGCUAGUCUUGAACUCCUGGCCUCAAGCAAUUUUUCCAUCUUGGCCUCUGAAACGCUGGGAUUACAGGUGUGAGACACCACAAGGCCUGAUUUUUUUUUUUUUUUUUUUUUUUUUUACUGGAAAUUGGAUUACAAUCCUUCUGAGUACAAUAUAAAAUACAUUGCUUGUUGUUGAAUAAUUUUAGGAAUGGAGUAGCAUCAUAUGGAGCUUCCAACAUUCUUAUUUUGAUUUUGUAGUUUUUUAAUAAACACAGAAGACUUAACUGUUUUGAAUGAAUUUACCCAUUGCAAGCAAUUAACAUCCAAUCACUUUACUUAAAAUAAUCAAACCAUUUGUGUAUAUAUAUACAGGAUAUAUUUCUACUGUUUACUGUCUCAAAGCAUUUUAACAAGCUAUUGUGCUGGCAGAGUUAAUUAGAUCUGAAAACUGGUAUAAUAAAAACAAUAAAAAACUGUAAGAAUGCAUUAAAAUAGAACACCAAAAUAAUAGAACCUAAGGUUUCUAAAGUUGUAUUUGACAAGUCAAAUGUUCCUUAAUAACUGGAUGCAUCAGAAUACAUUGUUCAUUAUAAUAUUAAAGGCAUGUAAUGAAAUGAAAAUUGAAGCAAUAGAGAAUUCAGUAUGCACAAUUAUUUUAAAUUUAAAAUCUUACCCAUAAUGAACAUAGCUAAAAACAUAAAAGACAAAUGAUAGAGAAAUUAAAAGCAAUUAUCAAAGGAAUUCUCAGCAGAAAUUUCUGAUUUAAAUUAAAGCCUAUGAUUAAAAAUCUCCUGCCUCUUUGUCCCUC